GGUUACUGCUAUCGGUGUUCGCCUAAGCCAUGCGAGUCAUAUGUUCGUAAGAACAUGGCGUACUGCUCAGUAACACGUGGAUAACCUGCCCUUGGGUCCGGCAUAACCCCGGGAAACUGGGGAUAAUUCCGGAUAACGCACAUAUGCUGGAAUGCUUUAUGCGUAAAAUGGAUUCGUCUGCCCAAGGAUGGGUCUGCGGCCUAUCAGGUAGUAGUGGGUGUAAUGUACCUACUAGCCUACGACGGGUACGGGUUGUGAGAGCAAUAGCCCGGAGAUGGAUUCUGAGACAUGAAUCCAGGCCCUACGGGGCGCAGCAGGCGCGAAAACUUUACAAUGCGGGAAACCGUGAUAAGGGGACACCGAGUGCCAGCAUCCUAUGCUGGCUGUCCGGGUGUGUAAAAUACACCUGUUAGCAAGGGCCGGGCAAGACCGGUGCCAGCCGCCGCGGUAACACCGGCGGCCCGAGUGGUGAUCGUGAUUAUUGGGUCUAAAGGGUCCGUAGCCGGUUUGGUCAGUCCUCCGGGAAAUCUGACAGCUUAACUGUUAGGCUUUCGGAGGAUACUGCCAGACUUGGAACCGGGAGAGGUAAGAGGUACUACAGGGGUAGGAGUGAAAUCUUGUAAUCCCUGUGGGACCACCUGUGGCGAAGGCGUCUUACCAGAACGGGUUCGACGGUGAGGGACGAAAGCUGGGGGCACGAACCGGAUUAGAUACCCGGGUAGUCCCAGCCGUAAACGAUGCUCGCUAGGUGUCAGGCAUGGCGCGACCGUGUCUGGUGCCACAGGGAAGCCGUGAAGCGAGCCACCUGGGAAGUACGGCCGCAAGGCUGAAACUUAA
This 837-nucleotide ribosomal RNA is filed under the name uncultured archaeon. RNAcentral describes it as "bacterial SSU rRNA". It matches the Rfam family "Archaeal small subunit ribosomal RNA", at positions 21 to 859 of the family's 1478-position model. The record is from RNAcentral.